RNAcentral lists this ribosomal RNA (253 nucleotides) under uncultured bacterium. RNAcentral's name for it is "partial 16S ribosomal RNA". It matches the Rfam family "Bacterial small subunit ribosomal RNA", at positions 524 to 776 of the family's 1533-position model. The record is from RNAcentral.
UACGUAGGCAGCGAGCGUUGUUCGGAGUUACUGGGCGUAAAGCGUGCGUAGGCGGUUGUCUAAGUCUGGUGUGAAAUCUCUCGGCUCAACUGGGAGGGUGCGCCGGAAACUGGAUGACUGGAGUGCCGGAGAGGUAAGCGGAAUUCCUGGUGUAGCGGUGAAAUGCGUAGAGAUCAGGAGGAACACCUGUGGUGUAGACAGCUUACUGGACGGUGACUGACGCUGAGGCACGAAAGCGUGGGUAGCAAACAGG